GCCUGGCUGGCUCAGUUGGUAGAGCAUGUGACUCUUGAUCUCAGGGUUGUGAGUUCCAACUCCACGUUGGGUG
Molecule: transfer RNA, 73 nt
Filed under: Ailuropoda melanoleuca (giant panda)
Lineage: Eukaryota; Metazoa; Chordata; Mammalia; Carnivora; Ursidae
Rfam family: tRNA
About the family: Transfer RNA (tRNA) molecules are approximately 80 nucleotides in length. Their secondary structure includes four short double-helical elements and three loops (D, anti-codon, and T loops).
Source: Rfam by way of RNAcentral